RNAcentral lists this ribosomal RNA (255 nucleotides) under uncultured bacterium. RNAcentral describes it as "partial 16S ribosomal RNA". It matches the Rfam family "Bacterial small subunit ribosomal RNA", at positions 524 to 776 of the family's 1533-position model. The record is from RNAcentral.
UACGUAGGUGGCAAGCGUUGUCCGGAAUUAUUGGGCGUAAAGCGCGCGCAGGCGGUCCUUUAAGUCUGAUGUGAAAGCCCACGGCUCAACCGUGGAGGGUCAUUGGAAACUGGGGGGACUUGAGUGCAGGAGAGAAGAGUGGAAUUCCACGUGUAGCGGUGAAAAUGCGUAGAGAUGUGGAGGAACACCAGUGGCGAAGGCGACUCUUUGGCCUGUAACUGACGCUGAGGCGCGAAAGCGUGGGGAGCAAACAGG